Molecule: RNase P RNA, 435 nt
Filed under: Prevotella sp.
Lineage: Bacteria; Pseudomonadati; Bacteroidota; Bacteroidia; Bacteroidales; Prevotellaceae
Description: RNase P RNA component class A
Rfam family: Bacterial RNase P class A
About the family: Ribonuclease P (RNase P) is a ubiquitous endoribonuclease, found in archaea, bacteria and eukarya as well as chloroplasts and mitochondria. Its best characterised activity is the generation of mature 5'-ends of tRNAs by cleaving the 5'-leader elements of precursor-tRNAs.
Source: RNAcentral
GCAGCGUUCCGGCCUGUCGCUGGCCUGCUUCCGCCCCUGUCGGCGGUAGCGGCGAGAGGAAAGUCCGGGCAGCACAGGACGCUCCACUCCUGAAAGUAGAAGCUAUUGGCAACAGUAGGGUAAGGCAGAAGAAAACAACCGCCGUGCCGUCUUGCCUGCCUUGACCCAGUGUCACCGCAGGCGUAGUAGGCCGGUAAGGGUGAGAAGGUGGUGUAAGAGACCACCAGCCGCAGGGCGAUCUGCGGGCUGUGCCUCCUGGAGGCUGCAAGUUCAUGUAAACCAUCGGCUGAGGGUUGUCCGCCCGAGUCGCCAGACACGAUGGAGGGUAGAACGCUUGAGCCGCGGCGCAAGCCACGGAGUAGAUAAAUGACAGGCACCCGACGCAUGGCAACAUACGCCCGGGAACAGAACCCGGCUUACAGGAGCACUGCUUUC